RNAcentral lists this unclassified non-coding RNA (317 nucleotides) under plant metagenome. RNAcentral's name for it is "partial contains 5.8S ribosomal RNA, internal transcribed spacer 2, and large subunit ribosomal RNA". The stretch from base 1 to 105 matches the Rfam family "5.8S ribosomal RNA", at positions 50 to 154 of the family's 154-position model. The record is from RNAcentral.
GAAAUGCGAUAAGUAAUGUGAAUUGCAGGAUUCAGUGAAUCAUCGAAUCUUUGAACGCACAUUGCGCCCGCCAGUAUUCUGGCGGGCAUGCCUGUCCGAGCGUCAUUACAACCCUCAGGCCCCCCGGGCCUGGUGUUGGGGAUCGGCGGAGCCCUCUGGGCACACGCCGUCCCCCAAAUUCAGUGGCGGUCUCGCUGCAGCCUCCAUUGCGUAGUAGCUAACACCUCGCAACUGGAAGGCGGCGCGGCCAUGCCGUAAAACCCCCAACUUCUGAAUGUUGACCUCGGAUCAGGUAGGAAUACCCGCUGAACUUAAGC